GCCGCUUUAGCUCAGUUGGUAGAGCACAUCAUUCGUAAUGAUGGGGUCACGUGUUCGAGCCACGUAAGCGGCACCA
This 76-nucleotide transfer RNA is filed under the name Sphingobium sp. CAP-1. RNAcentral's name for it is "tRNA-Thr". It matches the Rfam family "tRNA". From Rfam's summary of the family: Transfer RNA (tRNA) molecules are approximately 80 nucleotides in length. The record is from RNAcentral. Lineage: Bacteria; Pseudomonadati; Pseudomonadota; Alphaproteobacteria; Sphingomonadales; Sphingobiaceae.